RNAcentral lists this ribosomal RNA (561 nucleotides) under uncultured bacterium. Its description in RNAcentral is "partial 16S ribosomal RNA". It matches the Rfam family "Bacterial small subunit ribosomal RNA", at positions 355 to 932 of the family's 1533-position model. The record is from RNAcentral.
UGGGGAAUAUUGGACAAUGGGGGCAACCCUGAUCCAGCCAUGCCGCGUGAGUGAUGAAGGCCUUCGGGUUGUAAAGCUCUUUUGGCGGGGACGAUGAUGACGGUACCCGCAGAAUAAGCCCCGGCUAACUUCGUGCCAGCAGCCGCGGUAAGACGAAGGGGGCUAGCGUUGUUCGGAAUUACUGGGCGUAAAGCGAGUGUAGGCGGUUGCCGUAGUCAGGUGUGAAAGCCUUGAGCUCAACUCAAGAAAUGCACUUGAUACUGGGUGACUAGAGGACCGGAGAGGAUAGUGGAAUUCCCAGUGUAGUGGUGAAAUACGUAGAGAUUGGGAAGAACACCAGUGGCGAAGGCGGCUAUCUGGACGGUUACUGACGCUAAGACUCGAAAGCGUGGGGAGCAAACAGGAUUAGAUACCCUGGUAGUCCACGCUGUAAACGAUGUCGAUUUUGGAGGUUGUGCCCUUGAGGCGUGGCUUCCGGAGCUAACGCGUUAAAUCGACCGCCUGGGGAGUACGGCCGCAAGGUUAAAACUUAAAGGAAUUGACGGGGUCUAGCUGUUUCCU